UACGGAGGGGGCAAGCGUUAUCCGGAAUUACUGGGUGUAAAGGGUGAGUAGGCGGCAUGGUAAGCCAGAUGUGAAAGCCUUGGGCUUAACCCGAGGAUUGCAUUUGGAACUAUCAAGCUAGAGUACAGGAGAGGAAAGCGGAAUUCCUAGUGUAGCGGUGAAAUGCGUAGAUAUUAGGAAGAACACCAGUGGCGAAGGCGGCUUUCUGGACUGAAACUGACGCUGAGGCACGAAAGCGUGGGGAGCGAACAGG
Molecule: ribosomal RNA, 253 nt
Filed under: uncultured bacterium
Lineage: Bacteria
Description: partial 16S ribosomal RNA
Rfam family: Bacterial small subunit ribosomal RNA
Source: RNAcentral